RNAcentral lists this ribosomal RNA (447 nucleotides) under uncultured bacterium. RNAcentral describes it as "partial 16S ribosomal RNA". It matches the Rfam family "Bacterial small subunit ribosomal RNA", at positions 29 to 523 of the family's 1533-position model. The record is from RNAcentral.
AACGAACGCUGGCGGCAGGCCUAACACAUGCAAGUCGAGCGCCCAGCAAUGGGAGCGGCAGACGGGUGAGUAACACGUGGGAACCUUCCCUAUAGUACGGAAUAUACCAGGGAAACUUGGAGCAAUAACGUAUACGCCCGAGAGGGGAAAGAUUUAUCGCUAUAGGAUGGGCCCGAGUUGGAUUAGCUAGUUGGUGAGGUAACGGCUCACCAAGGCAACGAUCCAUAGCUGGUUUGAGAGAAUGACCAGCCACACUGGGACUGAGACACGGCCCAGGCUCCUACGGGAGGCGGCAGUGGGGAAUCUUGGACAAUGGGCGCAAGCCUGAUCCAGCCAUGCCGCGUGAGUGAUGAAGGCCUUAGGGUUGUAAAGCUCUUUUGCCGGGGACGAUAAUGACGGUACCCGGAGAAUAAGUCCCGGCUAACUUCGUGCCAGCCGCCGCCGUAA